RNAcentral lists this ribosomal RNA (688 nucleotides) under Fuscutata aurea. RNAcentral's name for it is "LSU rRNA". It matches the Rfam family "Eukaryotic large subunit ribosomal RNA", at positions 38 to 637 of the family's 3401-position model. The record is from RNAcentral. Lineage: Eukaryota; Fungi; Glomeromycota; Glomeromycetes; Diversisporales; Gigasporaceae.
GCAUAUCAAUAAGCGGAGGAAAAGAAACUAACAAGGAUUCCCCUAGUAACGGCGAGUGAAGCGGGAAGAGCACAAAUUUAAAAUCUACCUGGUUUUCAGGUCGAGUUGUAAUUUGAAGAAACGUUUUUGACGUUCCGAGUUGGGAUAAAUCCUUUGGGAUGAGGUAUCAUGGAGGGUGAGAAUCCCGUGUAUACCAACCGCAGGGAUGUUAUUUAAUACGUUUUCUAAGAGUCGAGUUGUUUGGGAAUGCAGCUCUAAAUGGGUGGUAAAUUUCACCUAAUGCUAAAUAUAAGCGAGAGACCGAUAGCGAACAAGCACCGUGAGGGAAAGAUGAAAAGAACUUUGAAAAGAGAGUUAAAUAGUACGUGAAAUUGUUGAAAGGGAAACGAUUGAAGUCAGUCAUGCCGGCGGGAAUCAACUUAGGGGAAACUCUAAGUGCACUUCACGUUUGGCAGGUCAGCGUCGAUUUUGGAUAUCAUAAAAUGAUUGGGGGAAGGUAGCUCCUUCGGGAGUGUUAUAGCCCUUGAUAGAUGUGAUGUCUGGGAUCGAGGAUUGCGACGGAUACCCUUUGGGCUAGCCGCCUGAUCUCUAACUGGUGUUAGGUUACGGACAGCAUGCUGACCGUGAUUUAAUUACUGGUUAAAAGGUUAGAGCGAGUGUAAAUUCGUUAAGGAUGUUGACGUAAUGG